UACUCCCGCCGGCGACCGGCGCACGGGUGAGUAACACGUAUGAAACCUGCCCGUAGCAGGGGGAUAAGCGGAAGAAAUUCCGUCUAAUACCGCGUAACAACCCGAGGAGGCAUCUCCUCGGGUUUAAAGGAAGCGAUUCCGGCUACGGAUGGUCAUGCGUCGCAUUAGCUAGUCGGCGGGGUAACGGCCCACCGAGGCGACGAUGCGUAGGGGUUCUGAGAGGAAGGUCCCCCACACUGGUACUGAGACACGGACCAGACUCCUACGGAAGGCAGCAG
RNAcentral lists this ribosomal RNA (278 nucleotides) under uncultured bacterium. RNAcentral's name for it is "partial 16S ribosomal RNA". It matches the Rfam family "Bacterial small subunit ribosomal RNA", at positions 80 to 354 of the family's 1533-position model. The record is from RNAcentral.